RNAcentral lists this transfer RNA (56 nucleotides) under Toxocara apodemi. Its description in RNAcentral is "tRNA-Arg". The record is from RNAcentral. Lineage: Eukaryota; Metazoa; Nematoda; Chromadorea; Rhabditida; Toxocaridae.
GAACGUUAAAUAGAGGUUUCUACGCUCGGCUACGGACCGGGAAGGGUGUCGUUUUU